Non-coding RNA from Caenorhabditis elegans, 125 nucleotides. The record is from Ensembl. NCBI's taxonomy places the organism in Eukaryota, Metazoa, Nematoda, Chromadorea, Rhabditida, Rhabditidae.
CACACUAAUCCUGUCGGACGCUCGUUUAUAAAUCCAAACGCCUCCUGAUUAAAAUAUAAACACAUCGAAUUCAUUUCAAAACGAUUUAAAUUGUUACAAAAGUGUUCUGAAUGGAAAUGUUCGAA